This is a non-coding RNA of Momordica charantia (bitter melon), 1509 nucleotides long. Lineage: Eukaryota; Viridiplantae; Streptophyta; Magnoliopsida; Cucurbitales; Cucurbitaceae. The record is from RefSeq and is a predicted model, not a curated record.
GUGGUCAAAAUUAUUCUCCCGUUUCUGUUUUAGAAUCUAAGAGUUCUAUUUAGAAAGUUGUUAUGGUAUCAGAGCUUUGAGUCAAACGACCUAAAUCAAUGGCGAUUUCUUCAUCCGAAACUGAUUCCACAGUAGUGAAUCAGAAUUCAACGAUCGUAAAUCCUGGGAACAAAAUCUCAACAAUCAAACUGAAUGAUGAGAAUUUUUUACUCUGGCGAUUACAAAUAACCACGGCGUUGCAAGGGCAUGGACUCGGGAAAUUCAUCGAUCCUGAAGCGAAAAUUCCGUCCGAAUUUGUUCAAUCGGCCGAUGAAUCUUCGUCUGUACCGAGUCCAAAUCCAGAAUUCAUCAACUGGAAACGCCAAGAUAAACUGAUCACGUCAUGGCUUCUUGGAUCGAUGUCUGAGGAAAUCUUAUCGCAAAUGCUAGAGUGUGAAACUGCACAAGAAGUCUGGUCAGUCCUUAAUACUCUUUUCUCUUCGAGAAAUCUAGCCAGAGUUAUGCAAUUAAAAUCUAAGUUAGAGAAUACAAAGAAAGGAAAUCUUAGCCUCAAAGAGUAUUUCCUGAAAAUAAAGAAUAUUGUGGAUUCUUUAAAUGCGACUGGAAAGAAAGUGUCCAAAGAAGAUCAUGUUAUGCAUUUGUUAGCAGGAUUAGGAACAGAUUAUGAUCCUACUGUAUAUGUAAUUGUUGCUAAAAUCGGUACUCCAUCAUUGCAAUAAGUUUAUUCUCUACUUCUUGCACAAGAAGGAAGAAACGAGAGGAAUAUAGUAACUACUAAUGCGUCCUUACCCUCAAUAAACUUGACUACUCAGCCAGAGCAACCAAAAAGAGCAAACUCAUCUAAUUUUUCUGAAAAUAGAGGUAAUUGGAACAAUAACAGAGGAAGAGGAGGAAAUCGAUCAAAUCGUAGCCGUCAGAAUAAUAACUCUAGAGUUCAAUGUCAGCUAUGUGGACGGUUUGGACAUACAGUGCUACGAUGUUACCUUCGGUUUGAUCGUUCAUAUCAGGGACAUAAUGCUACACCGAAUCAUUCUUUUACUCCUAUGAAUAAUACAUUUUUUAUGAAUCGUUCAUGCAAUACCUUUUCUCAGGCUCAACAACAAGCACCAUUGAAUGCUCUGAUGGUUGCUCCGGAUCUUAAUAGAGAUACCAACUGGUAUCCCGGCUCAGGUGCUUCAACACAUGUAACAAAUGAUUUUGGCAACUUCUGGGAGUAACAAAGUUCAUGUGGGAAACGGUACAGGACAUCAAAACUGGACAAGUACUUCUCGAGGGCAAGGUUUCUGAUGGACUCCCUGCUCUUCUUCCAUUACAGAUAACUCUUUUCAUCCUAUUUCUACAUCUCAGGUUCAUCAUCUCAAUAUUAGUCCUCCUUUGUCAUCUACAAAUUUUACUGAUAUACCAUGUAUACCAUCUGUCUUUGAUAUUUGGCAUUGGCGUCUUGGUCAUCCCCAACCAUCUACUGUGAAGCAUGUACUCAAUUCAUGUAAUAUUUCCUUUUCAAGUAAU